Molecule: long non-coding RNA, 411 nt
Organism: Glossina fuscipes
Lineage: Eukaryota; Metazoa; Arthropoda; Insecta; Diptera; Glossinidae
Exons: 3
Source: RefSeq, a predicted model, not a curated record
GAUGUAUAUCGUAUGUCUCUCUCUCUCUCUCUUUCUCUCUUUCUCUCUCUCUCUUUGGCUGCGAACAUUAAAGCGUUUUUACCAUAAAUACGUGCAUUUCGUAGUUAACUCGCUGAUAGUCUGGCUUACAUUGUCUAUCGUUUAUCUAUUCGUGUUAGUUCGGUGUGCUUUGCUUUGUUUUGUUUUGCUUUACGUUAAGAUGCCACAAUAUGUAAGUGCGCAUACGACGAGUUGAGUAUGAGUCAAACUCUCCGUCUUCCAAAAGCUUGCGGAUGUACUUUACAUGAUUUAAAACUUACCAUAAUAACGUUCAUUCCAGGUAUAGGUAUCGGUACUGGAACUUUUUUCACCACAGUUUGCACAUGUGUAUGAUGCUUGACCGGUAUGUGGAUUCGUAUUCUGCUCACCGUG